RNAcentral lists this ribosomal RNA (449 nucleotides) under uncultured prokaryote. RNAcentral's name for it is "partial 16S ribosomal RNA". The record is from RNAcentral.
CCCUAUGGGGUGCGUAAAAUCUCCGGUGGCGACAACGGUGAUGCCUUUCAACUGGGCCCACUUCCACAAUGCUUCGGGGGCCAUAUCUUUGCUCGUGGCACGGGAAUACUUCGAAUGGAUAUGAAGGUCGGCGAUAAAACGCAUAAUAGUCGUAAUCCGCGCAGAGUAUAGCACAGGAUUCUAUCGGCAGGAUAGUUUAAUUGUGAAUCAUGUCCUCGAUUUUGCCGAAAGGCAGUAGCCAAAACGACCUCAGAAUUAUUGGUCUUUUUCGCGACAGACGGGACUAUCAAUUCUACAUAUAUUUUGUACGGGAUUGACUAGGCAAAACCGUCAGGAGGAAGAAGUCAGCCAAAUACAGACAGGAGGUAUGCGAUGCGUUUUCUACUAACAAUUUCACUGCUUUUGACCGUUACAAUUGUAUCAUGCGGAGGCGGAAUUGGCGGGGGGGC